This 405-nucleotide ribosomal RNA is filed under the name uncultured bacterium. RNAcentral's name for it is "partial 16S ribosomal RNA". It matches the Rfam family "Bacterial small subunit ribosomal RNA", at positions 30 to 526 of the family's 1533-position model. The record is from RNAcentral.
AUUGAACGCUGGCGGCAGGCUUAACACAUGCAAGUCGAACGAGUGGCGGACGGGUGAGUAAUGCUUGGGAAUCUAGCUUAUGGAGGGGGAUAACUACGGGAAACUGUAGCUAAUACCGCGUACCAUAGGAUGAGCCCAAGUGGGAUUAGGUAGUUGGUGAGGUAAAGGCUCACCAAGCCGACGAUCUCUAGCUGGUCUGAGAGGAUGACCAGCCACAAUGGGACUGAGACACGGCCCAGACGCCGACGGAAUGCAGCAGUGGGGAAUAUUGCGCAAUGGGGGCAACCUGACGCAGCCAUGCCGCGUGAAUGAAGAAGGCCGUCGGGUUGUAAAGUUCUUUCGGUAGCGAGGCGUUACCCGCAGAAGAAGCACCUGCUAACUCCGUGCCAGCAGCCGCGGUAAUAC